RNAcentral lists this ribosomal RNA (441 nucleotides) under uncultured bacterium. RNAcentral describes it as "partial 16S ribosomal RNA". It matches the Rfam family "Bacterial small subunit ribosomal RNA", at positions 338 to 795 of the family's 1533-position model. The record is from RNAcentral.
CCUACGGGAGGCAGCAGUGGGGGAUAUUGCACAAUGGGGGAAACCCUGAUGCAGCGACGCCGCGUGAGUGAAGAAGUAUUUCGGUAUGUAAAGCUCUAUUAGCAGGGAAGAAAAAAGACGGUACUUGACUAAGAAGACCCGGCUAACUACGUGCCAGCAGCCGCGGUAAUACGGAGGGGGCAAGCGUAGUCCGGAUUUACUGGGUGUAAAGGGAGCGUAGACGGCAAUACAAGUCGGAAGUGAAAUAUCCGGGCUCAACCUGGGAACUGCUUUGGAAACUGUAUGGCUAGAGUGCUGGAGAGGUAAGCGGAAUUCCUAGUGUAGCGGUGAAAUGCGUAGAUAUUAGGAGGAACACCAGUGGCGAAGGCGGCUUACUGGACAGUAACUGACGUUGAGGCUCGAAAGCGUGGGGAGCAAACAGGAUUAGAUACCCGGGUAGUC